UACAUAGUAGCAUUCCAGAUUUUUCUGCAGUCCAGAAUAGAGCACCACCACCAUAGCAUUUCAAGCUCAUUCUAAGCUCAUCUUAUCAAUGACAUGGGGAGACACAUUGUUCAUU
This 115-nucleotide long non-coding RNA is filed under the name Pongo abelii (Sumatran orangutan). RNAcentral describes it as "lincRNA". The record is from RNAcentral. Lineage: Eukaryota; Metazoa; Chordata; Mammalia; Primates; Hominidae.